GCGCGGGUGGCGGAACUGGUAGACGCGCUGGAUUUAGGUUCCAGUGGGCAAUCCCCGUGUGGGUUCGAGUCCCACCCCGCGCACCA
RNAcentral lists this transfer RNA (86 nucleotides) under Ectothiorhodospiraceae bacterium WFHF3C12. RNAcentral describes it as "tRNA-Leu". It matches the Rfam family "tRNA". Rfam says of the family: Transfer RNA (tRNA) molecules are approximately 80 nucleotides in length. Their secondary structure includes four short double-helical elements and three loops (D, anti-codon, and T loops). Lineage: Bacteria; Pseudomonadati; Pseudomonadota; Gammaproteobacteria; Chromatiales; Ectothiorhodospiraceae. The record is from RNAcentral.